CCUACGGGAGGCAGCAGUGGGGGAUAUUGCACAAUGGGGGGAACCCUGAUGCAGCGACGCCGCGUGGGUGAAGGAGGGCUUCGGCAUGUAAAGCCCUAUCGGCAGGGAAGAAGCAAGACGGGACCUGACUAAGAAGCCACGGCUAACUACGUGCCAGCAGCCGCGGGAAUACGUAGGGGGCGAGCGUGAGCCGGAUCCACUGGGUGGAAAGGGAGGGUAGACGGCCAGGCAAGCCAGGGGGGAAAGCCCGGGGCCCAACCCCGGGACUGCCCUUGGAACUGCAUGGCUGGAGUGCGGGAGGGGCAGGCGGAAUUCCUGGUGUAGCGGUGAAAUGCGUAGAUAUCAGGAGGAACACCGGCGGCGAAGGCGGCCUGCUGGACCGCGACUGACGUUGAGGCUCGAAAGCGUGGGGAGCGAACAGGAUUAGAUACCCGUGUAGUC
RNAcentral lists this ribosomal RNA (441 nucleotides) under uncultured bacterium. RNAcentral describes it as "partial 16S ribosomal RNA". It matches the Rfam family "Bacterial small subunit ribosomal RNA", at positions 338 to 795 of the family's 1533-position model. The record is from RNAcentral.